RNAcentral lists this ribosomal RNA (468 nucleotides) under uncultured bacterium. Its description in RNAcentral is "partial 16S ribosomal RNA". It matches the Rfam family "Bacterial small subunit ribosomal RNA", at positions 28 to 507 of the family's 1533-position model. The record is from RNAcentral.
GACGAACGCUGGCGGCGUGCUUAACACAUGCAAGUCGAACGGAAAGGCCCUGCUUUUGUGGGGUGCUCGAGUGGCGAACGGGUGAGUAACACGUGAGUAACCUGCCCUUGACUUUGGGAUAACUUCAGGAAACUGGGGCUAAUACCGGAUAGGAGCUCCUGCUGCAUGGUGGGGGUUGGAAAGUUUCGGCGGUUGGGGAUGGACUCGCGGCUUAUCAGCUUGUUGGUGGGGUAGUGGCUUACCAAGGCUUUGACGGGUAGCCGGCCUGAGAGGGUGACCGGCCACAUUGGGACUGAGAUACGGCCCAGACUCCUACGGGAGGCAGCAGUGGGGAAUAUUGCACAAGGGGCGGAAGCCUGAUGCAGCAACGCCGCGUGCGGGAUGACGGCCUUCUGGUUGUAACCCGCUUUCGCCUGUGACGAAGCGUGAGUGACGGUAAUGGGUAAAGAAGCACCGGCUAACUACGUG